UACGUAGGGUGCGAGCGUUGUCCGGAAUUAUUGGGCGUAAAGAGCUCGUAGGCGGUUUGUCGCGUCGGCCGUGAAAACUUGGGGCUUAACCCCAAGCCUGCGGUCGAUACGGGCAGACUUGAGUUCGGCAGGGGAGACUGGAAUUCCUGGUGUAGCGGUGAAAUGCGCAGAUAUCAGGAGGAACACCGGUGGCGAAGGCGGGUCUCUGGGCCGAAACUGACGCUGAGGAGCGAAAGCGUGGGGAGCAAACAGG
This 253-nucleotide ribosomal RNA is filed under the name uncultured bacterium. Its description in RNAcentral is "partial 16S ribosomal RNA". It matches the Rfam family "Bacterial small subunit ribosomal RNA", at positions 524 to 776 of the family's 1533-position model. The record is from RNAcentral.